AUUGAACGCUGGCGGCAGGCUUAACACAUGCAAGUCGAGCGGAGAGAGGUAGCUUGCUACUGAUCUUAGCGGCGGACGGGUGAGUAAUGCUUAGGAAUCUGCCUAUUAGUGGGGGACAACAUUUCGAAAGGAAUGCUAAUACCGCAUACGUCCUACGGGAGAGAGCAGGGGAUCUUCGGACCUUGCGCUAAUAGAUGAGCCUAAGUCGGAUUAGCUAGUUGGUGGGGUAAAGGCCUACCAAGGCGACGAUCUGUAGCGGGUCUGAGAGGAUGAUCCGCCACACUGGGACUGAGACACGGCCCAGACUCCUACGGGAGGCAGCAGUGGGGAAUAUUGGACAAUGGGCGCAAGCCUGAUCCAGCCAUGCCGCGUGUGUGAAGAAGGCCUUAUGGUUGUAAAGCACUUUAAGCGAGGAGGAGGCUACUUUAGUUAAUACCUAGAGAUAGUGGACGUUACUCGCAGAAUAAGCACCGGCUAACUCUGUGCCAGCAGCCGCGGUAAUACAGAGGGUGCAAGCGUUAAUCGGAUUUACUGGGCGUAAAGCGCGCGUAGGCGGCUAAUUAAGUCAAAUGUGAAAUCCCCGAGCUUAACUUGGGAAUUGCAUUCGAUACUGGUUAGCUAGAGUGUGGGAGAGGAUGGUAGAAUUCCAGGUGUAGCGGUGAAAUGCGUAGAGAUCUGGAGGAAUACCGAUGGCGAAGGCAGCCAUCUGGCCUAACACUGACGCUGAGGUGCGAAAGCAUGGGGAGCAAACAGGAUUAGAUACCCUGGUAGUCCAUGCCGUAAACGAUGUCUACUAGCCGUUGGGGCCUUUGAGGCUUUAGUGGCGCAGCUAACGCGAUAAGUAGACCGCCUGGGGAGUACGGUCGCAAGACUAAAACUCAAAUGAAUUGACGGGGGCCCGCACAAGCGGUGGAGCAUGUGGUUUAAUUCGAUGCAACGCGAAGAACCUUACCUGGCCUUGACAUAGUAAGAACUUUCCAGAGAUGGAUUGGUGCCUUCGGGAACUUACAUACAGGUGCUGCAUGGCUGUCGUCAGCUCGUGUCGUGAGAUGUUGGGUUAAGUCCCGCAACGAGCGCAACCCUUUUCCUUAUUUGCCAGCGAGUAAUGUCGGGAACUUUAAGGAUACUGCCAGUGACAAACUGGAGGAAGGCGGGGACGACGUCAAGUCAUCAUGGCCCUUACGGCCAGGGCUACACACGUGCUACAAUGGUCGGUACAAAGGGUUGCUACCUAGCGAUAGGAUGCUAAUCUCAAAAAGCCGAUCGUAGUCCGGAUUGGAGUCUGCAACUCGACUCCAUGAAGUCGGAAUUGCUAGUAAUCGCGGAUCAGAAUGCCGCGGUGAACACGUUCCCGGGCCU
RNAcentral lists this ribosomal RNA (1359 nucleotides) under uncultured bacterium. RNAcentral's name for it is "bacterial SSU rRNA". It matches the Rfam family "Bacterial small subunit ribosomal RNA", at positions 28 to 1381 of the family's 1533-position model. The record is from RNAcentral.